UGCCCAGGGCAGCGAGCUGGCUAGGUAGAGUCGAGACCGAGAGAAAUGGAACAUGGCAUCAUCUUUGUGAUGCUCCUGGCCAUGGCGGCCACCGUCGGAGCGCGGUCAGGAGCCACGGCGCAGCCAUCCUGCAUCCCCACUGCAGAUGGCGCCCCUCGCAUGCACGGUACUACUACUACUACUUGCGAACUCUUGGGAACAGCUAGCUAUGUUUCGAUUGUUUCCUCGCUCUUUUCUCUAUAUGAACAAAUUUCUAGGGUUUCUUUGUACAGCCGGAGCAGUGCCCCCGUCGGUCGCCGCCAACUCGUCCCCGGCGCUUCAUCGUCUGCAUCGUCCUGCCAGAGGACUGCCAACGCACCCAGCUCCGGCGGAUCAUGAACCGCGGUCACUCGCCCGGCCGCUUCCUCGUCUGCCUCGUCCGGCCAGAGGACUACCGACAACACCAACUCCCGUGGAUCAUGAGCCGUGGUCACCACCGCCGCCCGCCAUGCAAGGGUGAUUAGUUUAUGAAAGUGCAGCCGUGCCUGUUUCUCAGUACGUUGCUGUUGAUCACCUGGCAAAAAGAAAAGACCCAGUGUCGUCGCUUUAAUAUUCUGUAUCCUGUAGUGUAGUUCAGUCUAGUUCCAGUUUUUGUCAGCGUGCAAGUUCUAGUCUACAUUUUUUGCUUAAACAUCACUGUAAUAAGUUCUUUAGGCCUUACAUCUAAAUUCGCGUCUUCUCUUGGAAUCUUUUUUCUUUGAACACCUCUUUGAAUCUUU
RNAcentral lists this long non-coding RNA (758 nucleotides) under Triticum aestivum (bread wheat). RNAcentral describes it as "long non-coding RNA (TAES_LNC005807)". The record is from RNAcentral. Lineage: Eukaryota; Viridiplantae; Streptophyta; Magnoliopsida; Poales; Poaceae.